UACAGAGGUCCCAAGCGUUGUUCGGAUUCACUGGGCGUAAAGGGUGCGUAGGUGGUGAGGUAAGUCGGAUGCGAAAGCUCGGAGCUCAACUCCGAAAUGGCAUUGGAAACUACCUUGCUCGAGGGUUGGAGGGGGGACUGGAAUGCUUGGUGUAGCAGUGAAAUGCGUAGAUAUCAAGCGGAACACCAGUGGCGAAGGCGAGUCCCUGGACAACUCCUGACACUGAGGCACGAAAGCUAGGGGAGCAAACAGG
This 253-nucleotide ribosomal RNA is filed under the name uncultured bacterium. RNAcentral's name for it is "partial 16S ribosomal RNA". It matches the Rfam family "Bacterial small subunit ribosomal RNA", at positions 524 to 776 of the family's 1533-position model. The record is from RNAcentral.